RNAcentral lists this ribosomal RNA (497 nucleotides) under uncultured bacterium. RNAcentral's name for it is "partial 16S ribosomal RNA". It matches the Rfam family "Bacterial small subunit ribosomal RNA", at positions 28 to 507 of the family's 1533-position model. The record is from RNAcentral.
GAUGAACGCUGGCGGCGUGCCUAAUACAUGCGAGUCGAGCGAACAGACGAGGAGCUUGCUCCUCUGACGUUAGCGGCGGACGGGUGAGUAACACGUGGAUAACCUACCUAUAAGACUGGGAUAACUUGGGGAAACCGGAGCUAAUACCGGAUAAUAUAUUGAACCGCAUGGUUCAAUAGUGAAAGACGGUUUUGCUGUCACUUAUAGAUGGAUCCGCGCCGCAUUAGCUAGUUGGUAAGGUAACGGCUUACCAAGGCGACGAUGCGUAGCCGACCUGAGAGGGUGAUCGGCCCCACUGGAACUGAGACACGGUCCAGACUCCUACGGGAGGCAGCAGUAGGGAAUCUUCCGCAAUGGGCGAAAGCCUGACGGAGCAACGCCGCGUGAGUGAUGAAGGUCUUCGGAUCGUAAAAAUCUGUUAUUAGGGAAGAACAAAUGUGUAAGUAACUAUGCACGUCUUGACGGUACCUAAUCAGAAAGCCACGGCUAACUACGUG